RNAcentral lists this ribosomal RNA (253 nucleotides) under uncultured bacterium. RNAcentral describes it as "partial 16S ribosomal RNA". It matches the Rfam family "Bacterial small subunit ribosomal RNA", at positions 524 to 776 of the family's 1533-position model. The record is from RNAcentral.
UACAGAGGGUGCGAGCGUUGUCCGGAAUCACUGGGCGUAAAGGGCGCGUAGGCGGUCGCGUAAGCGUGUGGUGAAAGCCCGGGGCUCAACCCCGGGUCGGCCAUGCGAACUGCGGGACUGGAGCAGAUCAGAGGCAGGCGGAAUUCCGGGUGUAGCGGUGGAAUGCGUAGAGAUCCGGAAGAACACCGGUGGCGAAGGUGGCCUGCUGGGCAGUAGCUGACGCUGAAGCGCGACAGCGUGGGGAGCAAACAGG